This 322-nucleotide ribosomal RNA is filed under the name Burkholderiales bacterium PBB3. RNAcentral describes it as "bacterial LSU rRNA". It matches the Rfam family "Bacterial large subunit ribosomal RNA", at positions 2612 to 2925 of the family's 2925-position model. Lineage: Bacteria; Pseudomonadati; Pseudomonadota; Betaproteobacteria; Burkholderiales. The record is from RNAcentral.
UAAAACGUCGUGAGACAGUUUGGUCCCUAUCUUCCGUGGGCGCUGCAAGAUUGAGAGAGCCUGCUCCUAGUACGAGAGGACCGGAGUGGACGCACCUCUGGUGUAUCGGUUGUCACGCCAGUGGCAUCGCCGAGUAGCUAAGUGCGGAAGAGAUAACCGCUGAAAGCAUCUAAGCGGGAAACUCGUCUCAAGAUGAGUCUUGCCGGGGCCUUGAGCCCCCUGAAGGGUCGUUCGAGACCAGGACGUUGAUAGGUCGGGUGUGGAAGCGCAGUAAUGCGUUAAGCUAACCGAUACUAAUUGCCCGUGAGGCUUGACCCUAUAA